AUGUGCAACGGUGCACCUGUGGCUGUGGCCAUGCCUUGGUCUGCUCUCGUGCCGAUGGCCAUGCUAGCUGCCUGGUUGAUCCAUUUGGUAUUGACGAGGAGAUGGAACAGCAGUAGCCCAAGGCUGCCGCCAGGGUCGAGGGGCUUCCCCGUCAUUGGCGAGUCGCUCGAGUUCUUCCGCCAGAGCCCAUCGCUCGAGCUGUUUCCCUUCUUCAAGCGACGUCUUGAGCGGUAUGGUCCAAUUUUCAGGACAGAUUUGUUCAAUCAAGACCUCAUCGUGUCCAUGGAUCAAGAGCUAAACAACUUGGUAUUCCAGCAAGAGGAGAAGCUAUUCCAAAUCUGGUAUCCGGAGUCGUUCAUGAGGAUCCUCGGAGCUGACUGCAUCAUCGCAACACUCGGAUCCUUCCACAAGCACAUGAGGAGUCUGGUCCUUAAGCUCUUGGGCCCUGAAAAUCUCAGGCUAGUCCUGCUCCAUGAUGUUCAGCGAGCGACCCAAGCCAGCCUGCUCUCGUGGCUCGAUCAGCCCAGCAUCGAACUUAAAGAGGCAACCUCAAGUAUGAUAUUCAGUGUCACAUCAAAGAGGUUAAUCAGCUAUGACUCUUCAAGCUCAGAUGGGAAGUUGUGGAAGCAAUUCGACGCAUUUACUCGGGGACUAAUAGCAUUUCCAAUCUACGUUCCUGGCACAGCAUUCUACAAGUGCAUGCAGGGAAGGAAGAAUGUCAUGAAGAUUUUGACGAAAAUGCUAGACGAGAGGAAGAGGGCCUCACGACAAGAUAGCGUUGACUUUCUCGAUCUCCUACUCGAUGAUUUGAAAAAGGAGAAGCUUCUAAGGAACGAGAAAAUUGCUUUGGAUCUGCUUUUCUUGCUACUCUUCGUGGGCUUUGAGACCACGUCAUCUGGGAUAACUGCCGCACUCAAAUUCCUAACGGACGAUCCCAAGGCCCUGCAGGAACUUAUAGAGGAGCACCAGAGCAUUCGAAAAAGAAGGGUUGAUCCUGACUCUGAAAUCACAUGGGAGGAAUACAAGUCCAUGAAAUUUACAUCUCAUGUUAUACAUGAAGCAUUAAGGCUGAGUAACAUCGCUCCGGUAAUGUUUAGAAAAGCCACAGAGGAUGUUCAUAUAAAAGGUUACACUAUCCCAAAAGGAUCAAAGAUCAUGACUGAUCCUUCUAGUGUUCAUCUGGAUUCUACAGUUUACAAGGAUCCCAUUGUGUUCAAUCCAUGGAGGUGGAAGGGUACUACUGUUGAACCAGUUGGUGGUACCUCCAAGGAAUUCAUGGCCUUUGGAGGCGGGGUGCGGUUAUGUGUUGGUGCUGACUUUGCUAAGUUGCAAAUGGCUAUCUUCCUUCAUUGCUUAGUUACUAAAUACAGAUGGAAAGCGAUCAAGGGAGGAACCAUGUCGCUUUCUCCGGGACUGCAAUUUCCCGGUGGUUUUCACAUCCAACUUCUCCCAAGAGCUUAA
This 1461-nucleotide ribosomal RNA is filed under the name Triticum aestivum (bread wheat). RNAcentral describes it as "partial small subunit ribosomal RNA". Lineage: Eukaryota; Viridiplantae; Streptophyta; Magnoliopsida; Poales; Poaceae. The record is from RNAcentral.